Molecule: long non-coding RNA, 1345 nt
Filed under: Phasianus colchicus (ring-necked pheasant)
Lineage: Eukaryota; Metazoa; Chordata; Aves; Galliformes; Phasianidae
Description: lncRNA (ENSPCLG00000016742.1)
Source: RNAcentral
UGGGUCUCAAUGGGACCCAAUGGGAUUCUAUGGGACCCAAUGGGACCCAAUGGAACCCAAUGGGAUUCUAUGGGUCUCCAUAGGACCCAAUGGGACCCGAUGCCACCCACCCCGCCCCGACGUCCCCCACCCCCCGCCCCCCCCGGGACCCACCUUCCCGCAGCACGUGGGGCAGCCGCCCCCCCCUCAGCUCCCUCCACGUCUCCCCAUCCGCUGCCCGCUCCCCCAGGGCCACCUCGGCCACCGUCAGCCCCAAACUGAACACAUCCGCCUCCGCCGUCGCGCCGUCCCCCCCUGCCAUGGCCGCCACCUCCGGCGCCGCGCAGCGCCCAAAACCCGCCAGCAGGGGGCGCCCCGCCGGCCCCCGUGGGACUCAGUGGGACCCAGUGGGACCCAAUGGGACUCAAUGGGAUUCAAUGGGACUCAAUGGGAUUCAAUGGGACUCAAUGGGAUUCAAUGGGACUCAGUGGGAUUCUAUGGGACCCAAUGGGACUCAAUGGGACUCAGUGGGAUUCAAUGGGACUCAAUGGGACCCAAUGGGACUCAAUGGGUUUCAAUGGGACCCAAUGGGUUCCUAUGGGACCCUAUGGGAUUCUAUGGGUUUCUAUGGGACCCAAUGGGAAUCAAUGGGACUCAAUGGGACCCAAUGGGUUCCUAUGGGACCCAAUGGGAUUCUAUGGGACUCAAUGGGAUUCUAUGGGUUUCAAUGGGACUCAAUGGGAUUCUAUGGGACCCAGUGAAUUUCUAUGGGAUUCUAUGGGUCUCAAUGGGUUCCUAUGGGUUUCAAUGGGACCCAAUGGGAUUCUAUGGGUUUCUAUGGGACCCAAUGGGAUUCAAUGGGUCUCAAUGGGUUUCAAUGGGACCCAAUGCGACCCAAUGGGCCUCAAUGGGACCCAAUGGGACCCAAUGGGACUCAAUGGGAUUCUAUGGGACCCAAUGGGACUCAAUGGGAUUCUAUGGGUUUCAAUGGGUUUCAAUGGGACUCAAUGGGAUUCUAUGGGACCCAAUGAAUUUCUAUGGGAUUCUAUGGGUCUCAAUGGGUUCCUAUGGGUCUCAAUGGGACUCAAUGGGAUUCAAUGGGACUCUAUGGGACUCAAUGGGUCUCAAUGGGAUUCUAUGGGACCCAAUGGGACCCAAUGGGACCCAAUGGGAUUCUAUGGGUCUCAAUGGGAUUCUAUGGGACCCAAUGGGACUCAAUGGGAUUCUAUGGGUCUCAAUGGGAUUCUAUGGGACCCAAUGGGACCCAAUGGAACCCAAUGGGAUUCUAUGGGUCUCCAUGGGACCCAAUGGGACCCGAUGCCACCCAACUGGCCACAACGUCCCCCACCCGGCCCCGCCGUCCCCC